RNAcentral lists this ribosomal RNA (253 nucleotides) under uncultured bacterium. RNAcentral describes it as "partial 16S ribosomal RNA". It matches the Rfam family "Bacterial small subunit ribosomal RNA", at positions 524 to 776 of the family's 1533-position model. The record is from RNAcentral.
UACGUAGGGUGCGAGCGUUAAUCGGAAUUACUGGGCGUAAAGCGUGCGCAGGCGGUUCGCUGUGUCCUGUGUGAAAGCCCGGGGCUUAACCCCGGAAUUGCACCUAAAACUACUUGGCUAGAGCAUUGGAGAGGGUAGCGGAAUUCACGGUGUAGCAGUGAAAUGCGUAGAUAUCGUGAGGAACACCAGAGGCGAAGGCGGCUACCUGGACAAUUGCUGACGCUCAGGCACGAAAGCGUGGGGAGCAAACAGG